GACGAACGCUGGCGGCGUGCUUAACACAUGCCAGUCGAACGGAAAGGCCCUGCUUUUGUGGGGUGCUCGAGUGGCGAACGGGUGAGUAACACGUGAGUGACCUGCCCUUGACUUUGGGAUAACUUCAGGAAACUGGGGCUAAUACCGGAUAGGAGCUCCUGCUGCAUGGUGGGGGUUGGAAAGUUUCGGCGGUUGGGGAUGGACUCGCGGCUUAUCAGCUUGUUGGUGGGGUAGUGGCUUACCAAGGCUUUGACGGGUAGCCGGCCUGAGAGGGUGACCGGCCACAUUGGGACUGAGAUACGGCCCAGACUCCUACGGGAGGCAGCAGUGGGGAAUAUUGCACAAUGGGCGGAAGCCUGAUGCAGCAACGCCGCGUGCGGGAUGACGGCCUUCGGGUUGUAAACCGCUUUCGCCUGUGACGAAGCGUGAGUGACGGUAAUGGGUAAAGAAGCACCGGCUAACUACGUG
RNAcentral lists this ribosomal RNA (468 nucleotides) under uncultured bacterium. RNAcentral's name for it is "partial 16S ribosomal RNA". It matches the Rfam family "Bacterial small subunit ribosomal RNA", at positions 28 to 507 of the family's 1533-position model. The record is from RNAcentral.